GGGAAACUGCCUGAUGGAGGGGGAUAACUACUGGAAACGGUAGCUAAUACCGCAUAACGUCGCAAGACCAAAGAGGGGGACCUUCGGGCCUCUUGCCAUCAGAUGUGCCCAGAUGGGAUUAGCUAGUAGGUGGGGUAACGGCUCACCUAGGCGACGAUCCCUAGCUGGUCUGAGAGGAUGACCAGCCACACUGGAACUGAGACACGGUCCAGACUCCUACGGGAGGCAGCAGUGGGGAAUAUUGCACAAUGGGCGCAAGCCUGAUGCAGCCAUGCCGCGUGUAUGAAGAAGGCCUUCGGGUUGUAAAGUACUUUCAGCGGGGAGGAAGGUGUUGUGGUUAAUAACCGCAGCAAUUGACGUUACCCGCAGAAGAAGCACCGGCUAACUCCGUGCCAGCAGCCGCGGUAAUACGGAGGGUGCAAGCGUUAAUCGGAAUUACUGGGCGUAAAGCGCACGCAGGCGGUCUGUCAAGUCGGAUGUGAAAUCCCCGGGCUCAACCUGGGAACUGCAUUCGAAACUGGCAGGCUAGAGUCUUGUAGAGGGGGGUAGAAUUCCAGGU
Molecule: ribosomal RNA, 559 nt
Filed under: uncultured bacterium
Lineage: Bacteria
Description: bacterial SSU rRNA
Rfam family: Bacterial small subunit ribosomal RNA
Source: RNAcentral